This 76-nucleotide transfer RNA is filed under the name uncultured Thermomicrobiales bacterium. RNAcentral describes it as "tRNA-Arg-TCT". It matches the Rfam family "tRNA". From Rfam's summary of the family: Transfer RNA (tRNA) molecules are approximately 80 nucleotides in length. The record is from RNAcentral. Lineage: Bacteria; Pseudomonadati; Thermomicrobiota; Thermomicrobia; Thermomicrobiales.
GCCCCAGUAGCUCAGCGGAUAGAGCACCCGCCUUCUAAGCGGUAGGUCGCAGGUUCGAUUCCUGCCUGGGGUACCA